This 26-nucleotide non-coding RNA is filed under the name Homo sapiens (human). Lineage: Eukaryota; Metazoa; Chordata; Mammalia; Primates; Hominidae. The record is from RNAcentral.
UGAAGGUGAACAAAUGCUGCAAGUGG